CUUAACACAUGCAAGUCGAACGAUGAACCACUUCGGUGGGGAUUAGUGGCGAACGGGUGAGUAACACGUGGGCAAUCUGCCCUUCACUCUGGGACAAGCCCUGGAAACGGGGUCUAAUACCGGAUAAUACUCCUGCCUGCAUGGGCGGGGGUUGAAAGCUCCGGCGGUGAAGGAUGAGCCCGCGGCUGGCCCGGGGUGGCGGCCGGAGGCGACCACUGGCCCGCCGGAGGCUGGUUCCGGGACCACUGCGAGGACGCGCGGG
This 262-nucleotide non-coding RNA is filed under the name Streptomyces sp. ERV7. RNAcentral's name for it is "Bacterial small subunit ribosomal RNA". It matches the Rfam family "Bacterial small subunit ribosomal RNA", at positions 47 to 308 of the family's 1533-position model. Lineage: Bacteria; Bacillati; Actinomycetota; Actinomycetes; Kitasatosporales; Streptomycetaceae. The record is from Rfam by way of RNAcentral.